Molecule: ribosomal RNA, 508 nt
Filed under: uncultured bacterium
Lineage: Bacteria
Description: partial 16S ribosomal RNA
Rfam family: Bacterial small subunit ribosomal RNA
Source: RNAcentral
AUUGAACGCUAGUGGCAUGCCUUACACAUGCAAGUCGAACGGCAGCGGGGGAGAAGCUUGCUUUUCCUGCCGGCGAGUGGCGAACGGGUGAGUAAUACAUCGGAACGUGCCCUGUAGUGGGGGAUAACUAGUCGAAAGAUUAGCUAAUACCGCAUACAACCUGAGGGUGAAAGUGGGGGACCGCAAGGCCUCAUGCUAUAGGAGCGGCCGAUGUCUGAUUAGCUAGUUGGUGGGGUAAAGGCCUACCAAGGCGACGAUCAGUAGCUGGUCUGAGAGGACGAUCAGCCACACUGGGACUGAGACACGGCCCAGACUCCUACGGGAGGCAGCAGUGGGGAAUCUUGGACAAUGGGCGAAAGCCUGAUCCAGCAAUGCCGCGUGUGUGAAGAAGGCCUUCGGGUUGUAAAGCACUUUUGUCCGGAAAGAAAUGGCUCUGGUUAAUACCUGGGGUCGAUGACGGUACCGGAAGAAUAAGGACCGGCUAACUACGUGCCAGCCGCCGCCGUAA